Long non-coding RNA from Hippoglossus stenolepis (Pacific halibut), 1015 nucleotides. RefSeq lists it as uncharacterized. The record is from RefSeq and is a predicted model, not a curated record. The transcript is spliced from 2 exons. NCBI's taxonomy places the organism in Eukaryota, Metazoa, Chordata, Actinopteri, Pleuronectiformes, Pleuronectidae.
UUAAAGUACUCAACCUGCCACAGAACUAGCAGUGCCAUGCUCUUUCCUCACACAACUACUUUUAUGAAAGUUUAUCAAGUUAUAGCUAAGAUUUAAAUAAACCAGCUUUACAACAGCAAACCAGCUAAGAAAAUACAACAUAUUAACUAGAGACAACCAAAUUCAGUGGACCACACGAUACAGGUGCCGACCGGACCAGACUAUCAACUGGAUGCAGGAAGAACAAACUCAAUCAAACCUCUGGUGCUUCUGUUGCUGCUGAGAUGUUGAUGUUGGACGAUGGAUGGUUGCCCCAAGGACAUGGCCCAGUCCUGGCCCCUGCUAAAGGAGCCCUGCCCCGCCGCUCCCAGCACAAGGCCCGGGCUCUGACAUGACGACACCAGGCCUUGAUGAUGAUUGAUCGUGUUGUUUUCUUCAUUACUUUAAACCCAAUCAGUGCUUGCUGUAAUUUGAGUAAUGAUAGCUCAUUAUUGGCAAUUUCAGAGUUUAAGGGCUUCUUUAUUUUAUCUCACUGAGGGACCCUUUGGGACGGCAUUAAAGGAUCAAUGAUUUUCCUCUGUGCAUACACACAGGGCCGGAUUGGAAAAUCCUAUUUCAACUCUGAAGUUCAAAUGAAUGGCCUGUACUUUAUACUGAGGGGGGGUUCGUUCUUUCACAACACUUUCAGUGACAACAGAGACGAACAGACCAGCUCAUAAUUUCCUGGAUCGGAUCAAUACAUUAUGAAUAAGAUAUAAUGGAUCAAACAAACAAGAAGAUAUAGAUGCACAUUUUUAAUAUACUUUCAGUAUAAUUAAGGUAAAUGGAGGCAAAAUAAAUAUGAAUAUAUAAAUCUGAAGUAGGGGCACUUUAAUUCAGAGCCCUUAAUGAGAAACUCAUUAAGUAUAAACACUUCAAUUAUACUGAUUACUGCAUAAGAUGUACUUACUUCUAAUAAUUCAGUUAAUUAUGGACCUGUUAAAAUGAUCAUAUGAAAAUGUUUUAAACUUAAUUAAUUAAAGAUAUUCUUCAGGUG